This is a long non-coding RNA of Nerophis ophidion (straightnose pipefish), 1569 nucleotides long. RefSeq lists it as uncharacterized. NCBI's taxonomy places the organism in Eukaryota, Metazoa, Chordata, Actinopteri, Syngnathiformes, Syngnathidae. The record is from RefSeq and is a predicted model, not a curated record. The transcript is spliced from 3 exons.
CCCAUUUUCCUUCGAAUCUAAUGGCCCCGACUUAUGAGACUCUCUUAUUGUCAGUUCUUCCCAAAUAUGUUUUGAAAUACCGAAAUAAGCCCGUCCGAAAGCCACUUCUGUAAUGUUCCUGUACCUUUAAGUUGAUAGGUCAAUCGGUGACGUCAUUUCCUCUUUCAGAACAGCCGGUUUCGAUCAAUAAUGGCAGCCAGCGUCGACGACUAACUCUGCUGCCCUGCCCAACAGGUGUCUAUGGUGUCUUACUGCAAACAAACGCAACGUCCAAACGCUCCGAGCACAGAAAUGAUCAAACACAUGCGGCAUGACCUACUUCUUCCUGGAAAUAGCCCUCAUUCCUGUGUAAAAUGGUGUUUGUUAUUGACAAAACUCUCAGUAUUAUGUUGGAUCUACUAUGGACUGGACUCUCACUAUUAUGUUAGAUCCACUAUGGACUGGACUCUCUCACUAUUAUGUUGGAUCCACUAUGGACUGGACUCUCACACUAUUAUGUUAGAUCCACUAUGGACUGGACUCUCACUAUUAUGUCAGAUCCACUAUGGACUGGACUCUCACUAUUAUGUUAGAUCCACUAUGGACUGGACUCUCACACUAUUAUGUUAGAUCCAUUAUGGACUGGACUCUCACUAUUAUGUUAGAUCCACUAUGGACUGGACUCUCACUAUUAUGUUAGAUCCACUAUGGACUGGACUCUCACUAUUAUGUUAGAUCCACUAUGGACUGGACUCUCACUAUUAUGUUAGAUCCACUAUGGACUGGACUCUCACUAUUAUAUUAGAUCCACUAUGGACUGGACUCUCACACUAUUAUGUUAGAUCCACUAUGGACUGGACUCUCACACUAUUAUGUUAGCUCCACUAUGGACUGGACUCUCACUAUUAUGUUAGAUCCACUAUGGACUGGACUCUCACUAUUAUAUUAGAUCCACUAUGGACUGGACUCUCACACUAUUAUGUUAGAUCCACUAUGGACUGGACUCUCACUAUUAUGUUAGAUCCACUAUGGACUGGACUCUCACUAUUAUGUUAGAUCCACUAUGGUCUGGACUCUCACUAUUAUGUUAGAUCCACUAUGGACUGGACUCACACUAUUAUGUUAGAUCCACUAUGGACUGGACUCUCACACUAUUAUGUUAGAUCCACUAUGGACUGGACUCUCACUAUUAUGUUACAUCCACUAUGGACUGGACUCUCACACUAUUAUGUUAGAUCCACUAUGGACUGGACUCUAACUAUUAUGUUAGAUCCACUAUGGACUGGACUCUCACUAUUAUGUUAGAUCCACUAUGGACUGGCCUGAGUUCACAGUGAACAGACGAAAGCUGUCUUUGUUGUACCAAGACCAAGGCUUGCAAAAUUCCAUUGUGUACGAUGGCAGGAGACGGAUCCAAGACCUGCCCAAGCUCGAUCCAGGACCAGUGCAAGCCCGAGGCAUCUUUUUCGUUUGUAUUAAUGUGACCAAAAACAAUGGCUGUUUACUUACCCCCCAUUCCUUCAGAAACAACUGUUAUGUAAACGGGGAAUAUCGAAAUAAAAGAGGAGACGUGAACCUUUUUCCAUUGAA